This 483-nucleotide ribosomal RNA is filed under the name uncultured bacterium. RNAcentral's name for it is "partial 16S ribosomal RNA". It matches the Rfam family "Bacterial small subunit ribosomal RNA", at positions 28 to 506 of the family's 1533-position model. The record is from RNAcentral.
AUUGAACGCUGGCGGCAGGCCUAACACAUGCAAGUCGAGCGGAUGAAGGGAGCUUGCGCCUGGAUUCAGCGGCGGACGGGGGAGUAAUGCCUAGGAAUCUGCCGGGCAGGGGGGGAUAACGUCCGGAAACGGGCGCUAAUACCGCAGACGUGCUGAGGGAGAAAGAGGGGGAGGGUCGGACCUCACGCUAGCAGAGGAGCCGAGGUCGGACUAGCUAGUUGGUGGGGUAACGGCCUACCAAGGCGACGAUCCGUAACUGGUCUGAGGGGAUGAGCCGUCACACUGAAGGUGAGACGCGGUACUGGCUCCUACGGGCGGCCGCGGUGGCGACUAUUGGCCGCUGGGCGAAAGCCUGCUCCAGCCAUGCCGCGUGUGUGCAGCAGCUCCUCGGGUUGUAAAGCGCUUUACGUUGGGAGGAAGGGCAGUAAGUUUAUCCCUUGCUGUUUUGCCGUUACCAACAGAAUAGGCCCCGGCUACCUUCGU